RNAcentral lists this ribosomal RNA (467 nucleotides) under uncultured bacterium. RNAcentral describes it as "partial 16S ribosomal RNA". It matches the Rfam family "Bacterial small subunit ribosomal RNA", at positions 28 to 506 of the family's 1533-position model. The record is from RNAcentral.
GACGAACGCUGGCGGCGUGCUUAACACAUGCAAGUCGAACGGAAAGGCCCUGCUUUUGUGGGGUGCUCGAGUGGCGAACGGGUGAGUAACACGUGAGUAACCUGCCCUUGACUUUGGGAUAACUUCAGGAAACUGGGGCUAAUACCGGAUAGGAGCUCCUGCUGCAUGGUGGGGGUUGGAAAGUUUCGGCGGUUGGGGAUGGACUCGCGGCUUAUCAGCUUGUUGGUGGGGUAGUGGCUUACCAAGGCUUUGACGGGUAGCCGGCCUGAGGGGGUGACCGGCCACUUGGGGAGGGAUAUACGCCCCAAACCCCCGCGGGGGAGAAAUGGGGGGAAUUUGAAGAUAGGGGGGGAGGCGAUUGGGGACAACCCCGCGGGGGGGAAGGGGGCUUUCGGUUUGAAAACCGUUUUGCCCGGUAGCAAAGCGUGGGGGACGGAAAGGGGUAAAAGAGCACCGGCUAAUUCCUG